UACCACGGAGUGAUUCAUGACUGGGGUGAAGUCGUAACAAGGUAACCGUAGGGGAACCUGCGGUUGGAUCACCUCCUUACCUUAA
This 85-nucleotide ribosomal RNA is filed under the name Zobellella taiwanensis. Its description in RNAcentral is "partial 16S ribosomal RNA". It matches the Rfam family "Bacterial small subunit ribosomal RNA", at positions 1455 to 1533 of the family's 1533-position model. Lineage: Bacteria; Pseudomonadati; Pseudomonadota; Gammaproteobacteria; Aeromonadales; Aeromonadaceae. The record is from RNAcentral.